UAUUCCACUCUUGUUUAUUAAUGCUGUGAUUAACACGCUACACGUGUUGUGAGUUUUGAGCUUUAAACAUGAAUUUGCUUCGUGCCUGUUUCUAUCAGAUUAGAUGUGUGCCAGUAGGAUCAAGAAAAACACUUUGAAGAUCAAACAAAUAUUAAGACAUUGAGAGAAAAAGAAACAUGUUUCAAAAGUAAAACUUACUAUCUGAAUCAACUUCUUAAAAUGAGUAACAAAGUAUGUUUCCUUUUUCUGUUUGCCUCUAUGUGUUUUUGUUAUCAAUUUCCUUAGUUUCGUUCUCGCUGCUCAGAGCUUUGCUCUCACUACCAGAUUUGCACUUACACUGUCUGGCUUUCUCCUUUGCAAUCCCUGAGUUUUUGGUUGCAAUUCUGACACAACCCUUUCGGGUGGGUGGGACUUCUAAGAAGUCCUCUCCCAUAGGACAGUGGUUUCUCUUGAGUGAAAGUUCAGUGACCUGGAAGUGAUGUAGCCUCCAAGACAUUUUUUUUUUCCAGCUGGUCAACAACAUGAAUUUUGAGCCCCAAACACAUCAUUUCUGCUGUCUGUGGUGUCUACUGAGGAUCUAAAGUGAGUAUUGAUAAUAUAUUUUAUCUUUUCUUAGUUAAUCUUUAAGUUAAGCCACUUUUUAAGUUGGUUUUAACCAGACGUUAGCUCACUAGCUAGCUGCUAAGCAAGCCAUUGUGCUAGCCUCAGGACAAUGGUCUAUUGUUCCAGAGAGACGUAUUAAAAACUCAUCUUAACAUAUUCAUUACUGGUUUCAUGGAAUUAAUUAUUGCAGUUUAUGUUAAUAAGUUUGCAAAUUUUUCAGGAACCUGUGGAACAUCAGAGACUUUGCAGCUACUGGAGCUAACCUGUGUACAGCUAACUUGCUACAGAGGAAGCAGCAGAAAGCUGAGCUAACAGGCUGUUUUGCAGGUAAAUGCUCUUUUAGUGGAACUGCAGGAUUUUUAUGGUAUAACUCAGACAGAAUUUACAUGAGCUUUUGUGGGAAGACAUUUAAACUACAUUUAUAUACAGAUACAUGUAUUAUUUAUUCCAUGUUACAUGGACGGGCUAAACAAGUUCAUAGUUCUGCCUGCUCCUUUUUCAGUGAAACAAAUGGAUUAUAUGAUGUAACUCUGACUGAAUGAUUAUCUAAGUGAGUAUGUUUGAUAAUAAAUUUCUUUCCAGUAUACAGAUCUGCCAUUUGUUUGUCAGAACAGGACACAUCAGAUUCAAUGUGCUUUCUGCCACGUGUUCUGUAUUCUCCAUCAAAAGAAUGUUAUUCAGAUUGAAAACUACUGCAUUGCAUUACAAUGGAAGUGCUACACGGCCACAUGCAUCAACUGCAGCUGGUGAGCUAAGACACACAUAGUGUACACAAAGUACACUGCAGACAAGGUAUGUAAGAAAAUAUCAAUAUGACAAUAUGUUGCGAUAUAUUUUCCCAGUGAUAUUGUAUCGAUGUUCUCAAACUGUAUCUCUAAAAUAUCGAUAUGGCAAUAUAUCGUGAUAUUUUUUCCUGAGAUAUUACAUCCAUUUUCAAAAGCAGUGUAUCUAAUUUUUGGAAGAAUUUACAUGCAAACAUUUGUGUAUUUUCUUUGUUUUUGGUGCACUUUAAAUGUCGACCGCUAGUUGGCAGCAAUAUGCAUUGGGUUUUGUUUCCACCAUUGAAAUUUAAAUCUUGCUAUUAUGGUUCAGAUAACUCAUGUUAAACAUGUUAAGUAUCAGUUUGGACUGUUUAUUGAAUAUUCCUACAAUAAAUUCAGUCAAAAAUACACAUCCCUACUGCAGACCAAUCCCACCUCAUGUAUUUCAUAGGCUGUAUAAUAAACCCACAGUGAUGGUUAUGGAUAAAUAUCUGUACUAAUGGUAAUCUUUUUCCAUUGUUUCCAGUUGACAAGCAUAUGGACCUAUUGUUCGAGUCUGUGGUGGUGGAUGCUCUAUCAUAUCAGGAGUCUAAGUACCUGUGCCUGAACCUCUCUGUGUCUAGUUCAAAAGACCUGCUGUAAGCAGGCACAGGUUAAGAUUUUAAAAGAACCUGCAAGGUUGCCUGAUGCUGAACUUCAGGCAGCUGCGUGUGACUGUACUCCCGUGGAACAACCACCUGUCAGGAGUUUGGGUCGGAGUCCUGGCAGAUCUAUGGAAAUUAUUUCCUUGAAGCUCCUGAUCACACAACCAUACUGGCAGUCGGCUUACCCACUACCUUCUGCUCACCCGCUUGCAACUCAUGCUGUCAUUCUCCCAGACUUCUGGUUGUUUCUCCACCAUUCUGCUGUCUCCCGUCUGCGCUACAACUUCAGACCGUAAGUACCUAAACGUUUCCUUUUGUAAGUCAUUCUUUAGUCAUUACUAACACUCAAUUUUACCUCAGGGCCUUCUGAUCUUUAAACACUAAAACCUGUUGCUCCAUCUCUGUGGCGUUUCUCAGUCUCUGUAAGCUACCUGCACAGUCUAAGAAAAACCUGACCUGUUGCCUUUUACUAACCUCUGCUCUUCCUCGCAGAAGCUUCUGGUUCCUGAUCUCCAGCAAUUACCUCUUCAGUCAUCCGUCAAACAUUUAAAUAAACUGUCUUUAGCUCAUU
Long non-coding RNA from Nothobranchius furzeri (turquoise killifish), 2579 nucleotides. RefSeq lists it as uncharacterized. The record is from RefSeq and is a predicted model, not a curated record. NCBI's taxonomy places the organism in Eukaryota, Metazoa, Chordata, Actinopteri, Cyprinodontiformes, Nothobranchiidae.